AAACUCCAUACUUUUUUAAUCGCCAACAUAUUAUUUUGCUGUGUGAAUGAUCAGUCUUCAAACAGACCUAACUGUUGGGUGAUGCACUACGUACUUAUAUGACGUCACAAUAUUACAGAAACUAAAAUCCGCGAAACGUUAAUAAGCCAAGGGGUUAAGAUGAUCUUUUUAAAAAUCAACGAUAAAAAGGACGUAUUUCCAGUUACCAAAUGUUGUGUGUUUAUGCUGAAUGAUUAUACACGUGCACAUGUUACGUUUUACCAAUCCAGGCAUCGAAAUACUGGUAAUAGCUGACCAUCCUACAGCAGAGGGGCCGAUGAUUGAGUGUAACGUCAGGCCUACAGACUGUAUAUCGUUCUUUGUGUUUUAAAACCGUUUCCUUGUAAGGAAUGAUGUACAUGUAAACUCGUCCAUUAGUGCAUUACAAACCAGUCAUAUACAGAUGAAAGUGAAUAGUGAAAAAAUCGAAAAAAAAAAAAGAAAACUCUGGUAUACACGGGUUAAAAACUACAAUAUAGACCAAAGGAAAAGAAAAAGAUAGAGGAUCAAGAAAACGCUUUAUAAUAUAUGAAAUUAAAUGAAUAACAUAUAUGCACGACUAAA
This is a long non-coding RNA of Saccostrea cuccullata (small rock oyster), 603 nucleotides long. RefSeq lists it as uncharacterized. The record is from RefSeq and is a predicted model, not a curated record. Lineage: Eukaryota; Metazoa; Mollusca; Bivalvia; Ostreida; Ostreidae. The transcript has 3 exons.